UCUCAGAUGGUCCAGUGGCUAAGAUUUCCGCCUGUCAAAGCCACAAUGUGGCUAAUGGUUCGCGGACGACCGGGGUUCGAUUCCCCGUCUGAGAG
Molecule: transfer RNA, 95 nt
Filed under: Orbilia oligospora ATCC 24927
Lineage: Eukaryota; Fungi; Ascomycota; Orbiliomycetes; Orbiliales; Orbiliaceae
Description: Arthrobotrys oligospora ATCC 24927 tRNA
Rfam family: tRNA
About the family: Transfer RNA (tRNA) molecules are approximately 80 nucleotides in length. Their secondary structure includes four short double-helical elements and three loops (D, anti-codon, and T loops).
Source: Rfam by way of RNAcentral